UCUCCUCAAACUGCAUCAAAACUGAAACAGAGUAGAUUUGCUUUUGCAUUAAAGUUAAAUUUUAAAGAAAAGCAUGCAUGGAACCCUAGCUCUGACAAAUUAUAAAAUAAAGAUGAUGUUGACAUUUUAUUAUUAGAAGUUUGAGAAAAAAGAGAUGAAAAUAAAGACCACUUAAAUUGAAUAUUUCAAUAGAAAACUGCAACAUAUUGAGGCAGACUACUGGG
This 224-nucleotide long non-coding RNA is filed under the name Brassica napus (rape). RNAcentral describes it as "long non-coding RNA (BNAP_LNC013116)". Lineage: Eukaryota; Viridiplantae; Streptophyta; Magnoliopsida; Brassicales; Brassicaceae. The record is from RNAcentral.